RNAcentral lists this ribosomal RNA (253 nucleotides) under uncultured bacterium. RNAcentral's name for it is "partial 16S ribosomal RNA". It matches the Rfam family "Bacterial small subunit ribosomal RNA", at positions 524 to 776 of the family's 1533-position model. The record is from RNAcentral.
UACGUAGGGUGCAAGCGUUAAUCGGAAUUACUGGGCGUAAAGCGUGCGCAGGCGGCUUUGCAAGACAGAUGUGAAAUCCCCGGGCUUAACCUGGGAACUGCAUUGGUGACUGGCAGGCUAGAGUAUGGCAGAGGGGGGUAGAAUUCCACGUGUAGCAGUGAAAUGCGUAGAGAUGUGGAGGAAUACCGAUGGCGAAGGCAGCCCCCUGGGCCAAUACUGACGCUCAUGCACGAAAGCGUGGGGAGCAAACAGG